AACGAACGCUGGCGGCAUGCCUAACACAUGCAAGUCGAACGAGACCUUCGGGUCUAGUGGCGCACGGGUGCGUAACGCGUGGGAAUCUGCCCUUAGGUUCGGAAUAACUUCGGGAAACUGAAGCUAAUACCGGAUGAUGACGUAAGUCCAAAGAUUUAUCGCCUAAGGAUGAGCCCGCGUUGGAUUAGCUAGUUGGUGAGGUAAAGGCUCACCAGGGCGACGAUCCAUAGCUGGUCUGAGAGGAUGAUCAGCCACACUGGGACUGAGACACGGCCCAGACUCCUACGGGAGGCAGCAGUGGGGAAUAUUGGACAAUGGGCGAAAGCCUGAUCCAGCAAUGCCGCGUGAGUGAUGAAGGCCUUAGGGUUGUAAAGCUCUUUUACCCGGGAUGAUAAUGACAGUACCGGGAGAAUAAACUCCGGCUAACUCCGUGCCAGCAGCCGCGGUAAAGU
This 452-nucleotide ribosomal RNA is filed under the name uncultured bacterium. RNAcentral's name for it is "bacterial SSU rRNA". It matches the Rfam family "Bacterial small subunit ribosomal RNA", at positions 29 to 526 of the family's 1533-position model. The record is from RNAcentral.